This 54-nucleotide transfer RNA is filed under the name Strongyloides ratti. Its description in RNAcentral is "tRNA SRAE_M000000006". The record is from RNAcentral. Lineage: Eukaryota; Metazoa; Nematoda; Chromadorea; Rhabditida; Strongyloididae.
AUACAGUUAUUUUAAAUAGAAUAUUUGUUUUUGGAGCAAAAGGUUUACUGUAUU